UAUCAAGGGGUUUCUUCAGGCCGCAG
Molecule: non-coding RNA, 26 nt
Filed under: Mus musculus (house mouse)
Lineage: Eukaryota; Metazoa; Chordata; Mammalia; Rodentia; Muridae
Source: RNAcentral